GACGAACGCUGGCGGCGUGCUUAACACAUGCAAGUCGAACGGAAAGGCCCUGCUUUUGUGGGGUGCUCGAGUGGCGAACGGGUGAGUAACACGUGAGUAACCUGCCCUUGACUUUGGGAUAACUUCAGGAAACUGGGGCUAAUACCGGAUAGGAGCUCCUGCUGCAUGGUGGGGGUUGGAAAGUUUCGGCGGUUGGGGAUGGACUCGCGGCUUAUCAGCUUGUUGGUGGGGUAGUGGCUUACCAAGGCUUUGACGGGUAGCCGGCCUGAGAGGGUGACCGGCCACAUUGGGACUGAGAGACGGCCCAGACGCCUACGGGAGGCAGCAGUGGGGAAUAUUGCACAAUGGGCGGAAGCCUGAUGCAGCAACGCCGCGUGCGGGAUGACGGCCUUCGGGUUGUAAACCGCUUUCGCCUGGGACGAAGCGUGAGUGACGGUAAUGGGUAAAGAAGCUCCGGCUAACUACGUG
Molecule: ribosomal RNA, 468 nt
Filed under: uncultured bacterium
Lineage: Bacteria
Description: partial 16S ribosomal RNA
Rfam family: Bacterial small subunit ribosomal RNA
Source: RNAcentral